AGUAUCCUGAGUAGGGCGGGACACGAGGAAUCCUGUCUGAAUCCGGGUCGACCACGAUCCAACCCUAAAUACUAAUACCAGAUCGAUAGUGCACAAGUACCGUGAGGGAAAGGUGAAAAGAACUGAGGUGAUCAGAGUGAAAUAGAACCUGAAACCAUUUGCUUACAAUCAUUCAGAGCCCUAUGUAGCAAUACAGGGUGAUGGACUGCCUUUUGCAUAAUGAGCCUGCGAGUUGUGGUGUCUGGCAAGGUUAAGCAAACGCGAAGCCGUAGCGAAAGCGAGUCUGAAUAGGGCGCUUAGUCAGAUGCUGCAGACCCGAAACGAAGUGAUCUAUCCAUGAGCAAGUUGAAGCUAGUGUAAGAACUAGUGGAGGACUGAACCCAUAGGCGUUGAAAAGCCCCGGGAUGACUUGUGGAUAGGGGUGAAAGGCCAAUCAAACUUCGUGAUAGCUGGUUCUCUCCGAAAUAUAUUUAGGUAUAGCGUUGUGUCGUAAUAUAAGGGGGUAGAGCACUGAAUGGGCUAGGGCAUACACCAAUGUACCAAACCCUAUCAAACUCCGAAUACCUUAUAUGUAAUCACAGCAGUCAGGCGGCGAGUGAUAAAAUCCGUCGUCAAGAGGGAAACAACCCAGACUACCAGCUAAGGUCCCUAAAUCUUACUUAAGUGGAAAACGAUGUGAAGUUACUUAAACAACCAGGAGGUUGGCUUAGAAGCAGCCAUCCUUUAAAGAAAGCGUAAUAGCUCACUGGUCUAGUGAUUUUGCGCGGAAAAUAUAACGGGGCUAAAGUAAGUACCGAAGCUGUAGACUUGCACACAACUUAGAUUAUUUAAGUUUAGAAUAUGAGAAACUAAGUUAUAU
RNAcentral lists this ribosomal RNA (859 nucleotides) under Campylobacter jejuni. RNAcentral describes it as "partial 23S ribosomal RNA". It matches the Rfam family "Bacterial large subunit ribosomal RNA", at positions 402 to 1220 of the family's 2925-position model. Lineage: Bacteria; Pseudomonadati; Campylobacterota; Epsilonproteobacteria; Campylobacterales; Campylobacteraceae. The record is from RNAcentral.